The sequence is a small nuclear RNA, 165 nucleotides long. Its record names the gene U4. It matches the Rfam family "U4 spliceosomal RNA". From Rfam's summary of the family: U4 small nuclear RNA (U4 snRNA) is a component of the major U2-dependent spliceosome. The structure of U4 snRNA from yeast and human has been reported. The record is from Ensembl.
AGCUUUGCGCAGUGGCAGUAUCGUAGCCAAUGAGGUUUAUCCGAGGCACGAUUAUUGCUAAUUGUAAACUUUUCCCAACAAUGUUUUUAUCCAGCCUCUUAAAACAUCCUAUUCUUUGCUUGUAACUUAUAUUGUUAUAUCAAAUUUCAGUAUUUCUAUUUUAGC